AUGAUCAUCUCUAUUUUAGGUAUUCGGGGAAUCCUCCUUAAUAGACGAAAUAUUCUUAUUAUGUCAAUGCCAAUUGAAUCAAUGUUAUUAGCUGUCAAUUUGAACUUUUUGGUAUUUUCCGUUUUGUUGGAUGAUAUGAUGGGUCAAUCAUUUGCUUCAUUAGUUCCAACAGUGGCAGCUCCGGUUCCAGGUUUCAAUUCCAUCCGUUUUAUAAUUUCUUACAAGUGA
RNAcentral lists this ribosomal RNA (228 nucleotides) under Triticum aestivum (bread wheat). RNAcentral's name for it is "partial small subunit ribosomal RNA". The record is from RNAcentral. Lineage: Eukaryota; Viridiplantae; Streptophyta; Magnoliopsida; Poales; Poaceae.